RNAcentral lists this long non-coding RNA (732 nucleotides) under Mus musculus (house mouse). Its description in RNAcentral is "predicted gene, 46565". Lineage: Eukaryota; Metazoa; Chordata; Mammalia; Rodentia; Muridae. The record is from RNAcentral.
CAGUCAUACGCCCAUCACCGUAAGGUCCUGAUGGGCAGGCUCUAGAAGGAAGGCUGUGGGUCUCUAGCUGUGAUGCUGACUGACCCCGGGCAGAUCGCUUCCCUUCUCUGGUCAUCCAACUCCUCAUCAGUUGAAAGAGGCAGUGGCUGCCAUUGUUCUUCAUGAUGUCCUGAGCGUGGUCUUUGAAUCCAGUGCAGAGCUGUUAGCAAGACGCUUCCUGAGGAAACACAGUGAAAUGCUUUGGAAUGAGAGACUGCUGUGUCAGUGAGGGUACGCUGUAUGGAACCUCAAGAGAUUUGUGUUUCAUCCUUACAUCUCAGAAGCAGCUUUUUGAACUCGCCAGCAGGAAGGGGAGGAGAUAUUCUGGAUGGUUCUGCCUACAAAAGUACCACCCAUCUCUACCUGAUUGCAGGAUGCCCACCUAGAUGGAUAGUGGAAGGGUCAGCUUAUUUACCCUAGAGCUCAGAGAGAAAAUGGACCACAGGAAACAUGCUGCAUACACCUGGACAGGACGUAACCAAGGAGACCAUGCAUGAAGAGCCGAGUCCUGAAACCUGCUUGCUCGGGGUGGAGCUUCCUGCUCAUUCGUUCUGCCACGCCCACUGCUGGAACCUGAGGAGCCACACACGUGCACCUUUCUACUGGACCAGAGAUUAUUCGGCGGGAAUCGGGUCCCCUCCCCCUUCCUUCAUAACUAGUGUCCCAACAAUAAAAUUUGAGCUUUGAUCAGAA